RNAcentral lists this ribosomal RNA (506 nucleotides) under uncultured bacterium. RNAcentral's name for it is "bacterial SSU rRNA". It matches the Rfam family "Bacterial small subunit ribosomal RNA", at positions 9 to 525 of the family's 1533-position model. The record is from RNAcentral.
AGGUUUGAUCAUGGCUCAGGAUGAACGCUGGCGGCGUGCCUAAUACAUGCAAGUCGAACGAGGUGCUUUUGUAGCAAUACGAGAGUAUCCUAGUGGCGAACGGGUGAGUAACGCGUUGGUGACCUACCCCAAAGUGUGGGAUAACAGUCCGAAAGGAUUGCUAAUACCGCAUGUGGUCAUUGGAUCUAGAAACUGAUGACUAAAGGAGCAAUUCGCUUUGGGAGGGACCUGCGUCCCAUCAGCUAGUUGGUGAGGUAAUGGCUCACCAAGGCGACGACGGGUAGGGGACCUGAGAGGGUGGCCCCCCACAAUGGAACUGAAACACGGUCCAUACACCUACGGGUGGCAGCAGUAGGGAAUAUUGCACAAUGGGCGAAAGCCUGAUGCAGCAACGCCGCGUGUGUGAUGAAGGCCUUCGGGUCGUAAAGCACUUUUCUGGGAGAUGAGAAAGGACAGUAUCCCAGGAAUAAGUCUCGGCUAACUACGUGCCAGCCGCCGCGGUAAUA